UCCCUAAUAGCUCAGUUGGUAAAGAAUCUGCUUGUAAUGCAGGAGACCCUAGUUCAAUUCCUGGUUUGGGAA
Non-coding RNA from Bos taurus (domestic cattle), 72 nucleotides. The record is from Rfam. Lineage: Eukaryota; Metazoa; Chordata; Mammalia; Artiodactyla; Bovidae.